Molecule: non-coding RNA, 790 nt
Filed under: Archimandrita tessellata
Lineage: Eukaryota; Metazoa; Arthropoda; Insecta; Blattodea; Blaberidae
Description: 12S ribosomal RNA
Rfam family: Microsporidia small subunit ribosomal RNA (bases 375-783)
Source: RNAcentral
AAAAAGUUUUACUCUUGCUUAUUUAUUUAUUUUAAUCUAAUUUUAUAUAUAUAUUAUUGUUGAUAAUUAUUUAUCUUGAUGAUUAUAAUUAUGUGGAUGUAGUAUUAAGUAUUAAUAAUUAAGGAGAUUUUGAGUUAGUUAAUUUUAUUAAGUAUUGAUUAAUUAUGUGCCAGCAAUCGCGGUUAUACAUAUAUUAUGAAUAAAUAUAAUUAGUUGGUUAGUUAAAUUGUAAUCUUUCAAUAGAUAUUUUGUUGAUUUUUAGGUGAAAUUAGGAAUUUAUGAUUAAGAUUGAUUUUGAUUAAUUGAAGCUGUAAAAUUUAUGGGAUAAACUAGGAUUAGAUACCCUAUUAUUAUAAAUGUAAAUUUAAAGGCUUAAGUAGUAGUAGUUAUGAUCUUGAAACUUAAAGAAUUUGGCGGUAUUUUAGUCUAUUUAGAGGAAUCUGUCCCGUAAUCGAUAGUCCACGUGGAACCUAACUUGAUUAAUAAUGUAUGUAUACCGCCGUUUAUUGAAUGUUUUUUUAGGAGAAUAUUUUCUUAAAAUUAUUGAUUAAAUUUUAUUUCAGGUCAAGGUGCAGCUAAUAAUUAAGGGGUGAUGGAUUACAAUAUUUUAAGGUAAACGAAUUAUAGUUUGUAACAGUUAUAUAAAGGUGGAUUUAAUAGUAAUUUUUUGUAGAUUGUAGAUGUGAUUUAAGCUCUAGAAUGUGUACACAUCGCCCGUCGCUCUCAUUAAAUUUAAAAGUGAGAUAAGUCGUAACAUAGUAGGUGUACCGGAAGGUGUAGCUAGAUUGAU